ACCCUUGAUAAACGUUUGACUUUCGA
Molecule: non-coding RNA, 26 nt
Filed under: Drosophila melanogaster (fruit fly)
Lineage: Eukaryota; Metazoa; Arthropoda; Insecta; Diptera; Drosophilidae
Source: RNAcentral